UACAGAGGGUGCAAGCGUUAAUCGGAAUUACUGGGCGUAAAGCGCGCGUAGGUGGUUUGUUAAGUUGGAUGUGAAAUCCCCGGGCUCAACCUGGGAACUGCAUUCAAAACUGACAAGCUAGAGUAUGGUAGAGGGUGGUGGAAUUUCCUGUGUAGCGGUGAAAUGCGUAGAUAUAGGAAGGAACACCAGUGGCGAAGGCGACCACCUGGACUGAUACUGACACUGAGGUGCGAAAGCGUGGGGAGC
This 246-nucleotide ribosomal RNA is filed under the name uncultured bacterium. RNAcentral describes it as "partial 16S ribosomal RNA". It matches the Rfam family "Bacterial small subunit ribosomal RNA", at positions 524 to 769 of the family's 1533-position model. The record is from RNAcentral.